Molecule: RNA transcript, 1798 nt
Organism: Nycticebus coucang (slow loris)
Lineage: Eukaryota; Metazoa; Chordata; Mammalia; Primates; Lorisidae
Gene name: TAR DNA-binding protein 43-like
Exons: 2
Source: RefSeq, a predicted model, not a curated record
UGGGAAUGAAGCGCUGUCUGGGCUGCUUUUGGGUUCCUCACUGCUUCGGUUUCCCUAUCGGGCUUCUUAGCAGUGGCCUAGCAGAAAAAUAAGAAAAGAUGUCUGAAUAUAUUCGGGUAACCGAAGAUGAGAAUGACGAGCCCAUUGAAAUACCAUCAGAAGAUGAUGGGACAGUGCUGCUGUCCACACUUACAGCCCAAUUUCCAGGGGCAUGUGGGCUGCGCUACAGGAAUCCAGUAUCUCAGUGUAUGAGAGGUGUGCGGCUGGUAGAAGGAAUUCUGCAUGCCUCUGAUGCUGGUUGGGGAAAUCUGGUUUAUGUUGUCAACUAUCCCAAAGAUAACGAAAGGAAAAUGGAUGAGACAGAUGCUUCCUCAGCAGUGAAAGUGAAAAGAGCAGUCCAGAAAACAUCUGAUUUAAUAGUGCUGGGUCUCCCGUGGAAAACAACAGAACAGGAUCUAAAGGAAUAUUUUAGUACCUUUGGGGAAGUUGUUAUGGUGCAGGUUAAGAAAGAUAUAAAAACUGGUCAUUCAAAAGGGUUUGGCUUUGUUCAUUUUACGGAAUAUGAAACCCAGGUGAAAGUAAUGUCACAGCGACAUAUGAUAGACAGACGAUGGUAUGACUGUAAACUUCCUAAUUCUAAGCAAAGCCUGGAUGAACCUUUGAGAAGCAGGAAGGUAUUUGCUGGGCGCUGCACAGAGGACAUGACUGAUGAUGAGUUGCGGUAGUUCUUUUGUCAGUAUGGAGAAGUGGUAGAUGUCUUCAUUCCCAAACCAUUCAGGGCUUUUGCCUUUGUUACAUUUGCAGAUGAUCAGGUUGUCCAGUCUCUUUGUGGAGAGGACUUGAUCAUUAAAGGAGUCAGCAUACAUAUAUCCAAUGCCGAACCUAAGCACAAUAGCAAUAGACAGUUAGAAAGAAGUGGAAGAUUUGGUGGUAAUCCAGGUGGCUUUGGGAAUCAGGUUCAUCUCAUUUCAAAUGUUUAUGGAAGAAGCACUUCAUUGAAAGUAGUGCUGUAAAUAUUCUGCCAUAGGAAUACUUCUGUCUACAUGCUUUCUCAUUCAAGAAUUCGUCAUCACGCAUCACAGGCUUCGUCUUUGAUGGUGGGUGUCCCAUUUUUAUCCGCUACUUUAUUUCAUGGAGUCGUAUGAACGCUAUGAACACAAGGCUGGAACCAGAAGGCUGUUUGAACUUUUGAAACCUUGUGUGGGAUUGAUGGUGGUGCCGAGGCAUGAAAGGCUAGUAUGAGCGAGAAAAGGAGAGCGCGUGCAGAGACUUGGUGGUGCAUAAGGGAUAUUUUUUAACUUGGCGAGAUGUGUCUCUCGAUCCCGUGGCUUUGGUGAGAGUGUGUGCAGAGAGCAAUGAUAGCAAAUAAUGUACGAAUGUUUUUUGCAUUCAAAGGACAUCCACAUCUGUUGGAAGACUUUAAGUGAGUUUUGUUCUUAGAUAACCCAUAUUAGCUGAAUGUGUUAAGUGAAACGAUACUUGUAUUUCCCUUACCCUUUUGUCAACUGCUGUGAAUGCCGUAUGGUGUGUGUUCUCUUCUGUUACUGAUCUGUAAGUGUGGUAAUGUGAACUGAAGCUGAUGGGUUGAGAACAUGGACUGAGCUUGUGGUGUGCUUUGCAGGAGAACUUGGAAGCAGAGUUCACCAGUGAGCUCAGGUGUCUCAAAGAAGGGUGGAAGUUCUAAUGUCUGUUAGCGGCCCAUAAGCCUGCUGUUUGCUGCAGUUCCGUGUCCUGUGCUUGGAUGCUUUUAUAAGAGUUGUCAACGUUGGAAAUUCUUAAAUAAAACUGAUUAAAAAAA